This 57-nucleotide ribosomal RNA is filed under the name Schizophyllum commune. RNAcentral describes it as "partial 28S ribosomal RNA". The record is from RNAcentral. Lineage: Eukaryota; Fungi; Basidiomycota; Agaricomycetes; Agaricales; Schizophyllaceae.
UCUUGACCGAGACUAGCGACUUGUGCGCUAACUUUUGACUGACCUCAAAUCAGGUAG